Molecule: ribosomal RNA, 252 nt
Filed under: uncultured bacterium
Lineage: Bacteria
Description: partial 16S ribosomal RNA
Rfam family: Bacterial small subunit ribosomal RNA
Source: RNAcentral
UACGUAGGUCCCGAGCGUUAUCCGGAUUUAUUGGGCGUAAAGCGAGCGCAGGCGGUUAGGUAAGUCUGAAGUUAAAGGCUGUGGCUUAACCAUAGUACGCUUUUGAAACUGUUUAACUUGAGUGCAGAAGGGGAGAGUGGAAUUCCAUGUGUAGCGGUGAAAUUCGUAGAUAUAUGGAGGAACACCGGUGGCGAAAGCGGCUCUCUGGUCUGUAACUGGCGCUGAGGCUCUAAAGCGUGGGGAGCAAACAGG